UUUAAUGUAGUUUUAAACGAGAAGCGUGGGUAUAAAAGGGGCGGGGCCCGGCCAAAAAAAUGUCGCACGCAAAAUUUAUAAGGGAUAAAAUGGCUACUCUUUGCGCUCAGGCUGUAUCCCAGAUUCACUGCCUUUAGCAACGCUUUUAUGAACGUAAAAGGGGCGUAUUGAACGCUUGACAUCCGCUUAGACACGUGGUCUUUUAGUCAGUAAACAGUAAGCUAGUUUGCGAUGGCUACUUCAAGGAAACGGGUGCGCUACACAAUGGACGUUCACUUCGUUGAUGAAGAGGAGAAGCAAGCGUUUCUUGGUCGCCUAAAGCACGUCCGUGAGCUGCUAAAGCCUCCUGGAAGCCCUCUGCUUGACAACUUUAGCCUGUUGAGCACGCUCUGUGCUUCUGUUGAAGGUGACCCAGAUCACUCACACCCUCCCCCUACCCCUGUUACUGCAAUCAGGAGCUUUAUGAGCAACAAUGGUAUGUACAAAAACGAUACUUCCGAUGGGCAACAACUCUUUGCCACGGAAUAUCAUUGUUUCACUGACCUAGUGAAAGGGCUUGCCACGCCCUGUCCGUGUGGGGUAACUAGAAGUCCCUGGGAAGUCCAGUCAAUAGUACAGAAAGGACAUGUGGUACGAGCUCUUUUUUGCUGCCGACGCUGUAAGGUGCAGAAGAGAAAGUGGUCUAGCUCCCGUGUAUUUGGAGGACAUUAUUUGGUGAACCAGAAGGUUGUUCAUGGGUUUACUUGUGCUGGAAUUCUACCCUCCCAAUACACCCACUUUAGUCAGUUCUGUGGUUUAGGGACUGUUGGUCAAAGUUACAUCCGACAAGUGUACGGAAAGCUAGGUUACCGUGACAUUGUACAAAGGGCAGCAAACGUGAGCAUGAUGUCGGCUGUUUUUGAUGUGAAGGCCCUUCCUGAGUAUACCACCAACAAAGGAGAGUGGGUAAUCACUGAUGCCCGGCACGACUCAACAGCCAACGCAUACCACACAACUGUGCCUUGCCUGUCUGGAAGCAACAAGAAGAUACUCGGCAUAUCAACUCUCUCUCGGGCCGAACACUCCACUGCACAGACCAGAGAACUUGUGUGUACCAAGCUUGUUAUCCCUCAAGUGUAAAGCAGAGGUAUUGAAGUCAUCGAGGUAGCUCAUGAUAUGCAGGCGCAGGUCGCAAAGUACGUGUCAGACGAGUUGGGACUCAUCAAUUCCUACGACACUUGGCAUGGAACGAAGAAUGUGUCGAAGGAAAUAAAGAAAGUAACACAGG
Molecule: RNA transcript, 1267 nt
Organism: Halichondria panicea
Lineage: Eukaryota; Metazoa; Porifera; Demospongiae; Suberitida; Halichondriidae
Exons: 9
Source: RefSeq, a predicted model, not a curated record